CGUGGCUAACCUGCCCUUGGGACAGAAACAACCCCGGGAAACUGGGGCUAAUUUCCGAUAGGUGAGGAGUCCUGGAAUGGUUCCUUGCCCAAAAGGCGUUUAGGGCAUGCUUCUAGGCGUUGCCCAAGGAUGGGGCCGCGGCCGAUCAGGUUGUUGGUGAGGUAACGGCUCACCAAGCCUUUAACCGGUGCGGGCCGUGGGAGCGGGAGCCCGGAGAUGGGCACUGAGACAAGGGCCCAGGCCCUACGGGGCGCAGCAGUCGCGCAAAUUUCACAAUAAGCGAAAGCUUGAUGGAGCCAUCCCGAGUGCCAUCCGCUGAGGAUGGCUUUUCCCUAGUGUAGAUAGCUGGGGGAAUAAGGAGAGGGCAAGUCUGGUGUCAGCCGCCGCGGUAAUACCAGCUCUCCGAGUGGUGUGGAUGAUUAUUGGGCCUAAAGCAUCCGUAGCCGGCUGGGCAAGUCCCCCGUUAAAUCCAACGAAUAAUCGCUGGCCUGCAGGGGAUACUGCUCGGCUUGGGGGCGAGAGAGGCCGCCGGUAUUUCCGGGGUAGGGGUGAAAUCCUAUAAUCCCGGGAGGACCACCAGUGGCGAAGGCUGUCGGCUAGAACGCGCCCGACGGUGAGGGAUGAAAGCUGGGGGAGCGAACCGGAUUAGAUACCCGGGUAGUCCCAGCUGU
RNAcentral lists this ribosomal RNA (671 nucleotides) under uncultured archaeon. RNAcentral describes it as "bacterial SSU rRNA". It matches the Rfam family "Archaeal small subunit ribosomal RNA", at positions 99 to 754 of the family's 1478-position model. The record is from RNAcentral.